This 372-nucleotide ribosomal RNA is filed under the name uncultured organism. RNAcentral's name for it is "bacterial SSU rRNA". It matches the Rfam family "Bacterial small subunit ribosomal RNA", at positions 526 to 896 of the family's 1533-position model. The record is from RNAcentral.
CGGAGGGUGCGAGCGUUGUUCGGAAUUAUUGGGCGUAAAGCGCGUGUAGGUGGCUCCUUAAGUCUGAUGUGAAAGCCCCGGGCUCAACCUGGGAAGUGCAUUGGAAACUGGGGAACUUGAAUACGGGAGAGGGUAGUGGAAUUCCUGGUGUAGGAGUGAAAUCCGUAGAUAUCAGGAGGAACACCGGUGGCGAAGGCGGCUACCUGGACCGAUAUUGACGCUGAGACGCGAAAGCGUGGGGAGCAAACAGGAUUAGAUACCCUGGUAGUCCACGCCGUAAACGAUGAGUACUAGGUGUUGCGGGUAUUGACCCCUGCAGUGCCGCAGCUAACGCAUUAAGUACUCCGCCUGGGAAGUACGGUCGCAAGACUA